This 74-nucleotide transfer RNA is filed under the name Caudoviricetes sp. RNAcentral's name for it is "tRNA-Met". It matches the Rfam family "tRNA". Rfam says of the family: Transfer RNA (tRNA) molecules are approximately 80 nucleotides in length. Their secondary structure includes four short double-helical elements and three loops (D, anti-codon, and T loops). The record is from RNAcentral. Lineage: Duplodnaviria; Heunggongvirae; Uroviricota; Caudoviricetes.
GGGCUAUUAGCUUAGUUGGUCAGAGCUUCUGGCUCAUAACCGGAUGGUCGUAGGUUCGAGUCCUACAUGGCCCA